GCUCGUCGACUUAGGAGUGGUUGGAGCAAAAGAAACAGAUGUGGCCUCAAUAAUUUCAAACCAAUCUUGAAUUCACGUGUAUGAAGUAGAAACAAAACAAAAAGCUAAUGUUAUACACAACAGAGUUUGAGUUGGUGAGGGUUUAGCUCCGGUUGGCUCAGCUUUGUCUUAGUUCUGGAUUUACCUCACCCUUCAGAUCGAAAUGAUGUCGGUGGUUGUGGCCUGCACGUCUCCGGCUCUGCUCAAAUAAUCUCAGCAGCACAGUGUUUGUUGCUAGAUGACGGUUAACGACUCAGGUUGGUUCGUGGUUUGUUAGUUAGGCCCCAGGUUCAGAGUGUGGCUUCGGAUUUGUCUCCUCUGUUAGAAAUUGAAGAACAUAGUGAAGAACAAGAGAGAGAUGUUUAAUCUAAAAAGUAGAGAGAGAUAGAGUAAAUAAGGAGAAUCUUAUUUGCUUAAUUAAUUUUCUUAUGGGAACAUUCCAUAUAUAUAGGGGUUACAAGUAUGGCAAAUGGUAGAUGAGAUAUGAUAAACUAAUAAUCCAUUGUCUUGAGACUUUAACCCACCAUACAUGCUUGUCCCUUGUAGUGGCAUCUCCAUUGUCUUGAGACCUUAACCCACCAUGCAUGCUUGUCCCUUGUAGUGGCAUCUCCAUUGUCUUGAGACCUUAACCAACCAUGCAUGCUUGCCUCUUGUAGUGGUAUCUCCAUUGUCUUGAGACCUUAACCAACCAUCAUGCUUGCCUCUUAGGGUAUCUCAUUGUUUGAGACCUUAACCAACCAUCUUGUUUCUUAUUGCUUCAUCUUCACACUCCCCCUCAAGCUUGACCAUAGGGACUGGUCAAACUUGGAAACCAUGAAGCAUUCCCUCAUUAAAACCUUUAGCUUGGAAAAACCUCAUGGGAUAAAAACCAAGCCAAGGAAAAAGAGUAGAACACUUCAUGGCUAAGAGGAUUAGUGUGAUGAAAAAUCUACGAGUCCUAACUUGGAAUGUAUGAACUCGCAAACCUUGGUGCUUGCAGCCUUGGUAAAGAUGUCAGCUAGUUGAUCCUCACUUCUUGUGUAGCAGGGUAAGAUGAUCUUUUGUUACACUGCUUGCCUAACUUUAUGACAAUCCACCUCAAUGUGUUUAGUCCUCUCAUGGAACACACUGUUGGAAGCUAUGUGUAUUGCUGCUUGAUUAUCACAAUGCAUGGUGAUUGGAGUUGAUGUCUUUAUACCCAAGUCUCAAAGUAGGUUUCUGAUCCAAAUCAACUCACUAGUGAGCUUCCUCAUCGCCCUAUAUUCAGCUUCGGCACUUGAGCAUGACACUAUCUUCUGUUUCUUGCUCUUCCAAGUGACAAGAUUGCCUCCAAUAAAUGUACAAUAGCCGGUAGUGGAUCUCCUAUCCACUCUGUCUCCUGCCCAAUCAGCAUCACAAUACCCAACUAUCUCUGUAUUUUUGUUGCAUCCCAUCCACACUCCUUGCCCUGGCGCCUCUCUUAGGUAUCUUAGGAUCCUUUCAACCAUGUUCCAAUGGUGUAUCUUGGGAGCUUGCAUAUUCUGGCUUACUUGGUUAACUGCAAAGCAUACAUCAGGCCUGGUGAUGGUGAGGUAUAUCAGCUUUCCUACAAUUCUUCUAUAGUGUUUAACGUCAGUAUAGGGCUUGUCUUCAAUCUCCCCCUCACGCAUCACCUUAUACCCAUCUUCUAGUGGAGUCUUGGCUACUUUCGCUCCAAGAUUUCCUGCCUCAUUCAAAAGAUCAAGUGUGUACUUCCUUUGAGAUAAGAAAAGCCCCUCUUUAGAGCGGCAUAUUUCUAUCCCUAGAAAGUACUUUAGCUCACUCAAAUCUUUAAUAUCAAAAGUAGACUUAAGAAAGACUUUGGUUGAGAUAAUACCUUCUUUGUCACUUCCUGUGAUGAUAAUAUCAUCUACAUAAAUAAGAAUCACCACAAUUCCUUGCUUGCUUCUGAGUGUGAAGAGUGUAUGAUCAGCUUCUGACUUUACAAACCCUUUUCCAUUGAGAGUUGUACUCAGUUUGUGGUACCAAGCCCUUGGUGACUGUUUUAACCCAUAUAUUGCUUUCUUCAACCUUAGGACAUUCCCUGGCUUGACCAUGUCUUCCAUACCCGGAGGUGGCCUCAUGUAAACCUCAUCCUCCAGCUCUCCUUGAAGAAAAGCAUUUUUGACAUCCAUCUGCCAUAAAUCCCAUUCCAAGUUCACUGCCAAUGAGAGUAGAAUUCUUAUGGUGUGGAGUUUAGCUACUGGUGCAAAUGUAUCCAGAUAGUCUUCUCCAUAGACUUGGGUGUAUCCUCUUGCAACUAGCCUUGUUUUCUUUCUUUCUGGUUUCCCAUUGGCAAGGUACUUGAUGGUGAAGAGUAGACGGCUUGUAACAGCUUUCUUUCCUUUGGGGAGCUCAGUUUCAUACCAAGUAUCAUUCUUGAUCAUGGCACCAACUUCAUCCCCAACUGACGCUCUCCACUCUUCAUGCUUCAUGGCUUCUUCAUAAGUCUUUGGUACAUACUCUUGAUCUAGGUUGCUGAUGAAGACUACAUGCUCUUCAGAUAGUCUCGCAAAAGAACAUGUUGCUUGGAUAGGAUGAGCUACUGCAUUGUUGUUGAAGUAUACUUUGGUGUCCAUCCACUGAGAUGGUUUCUUCACCCUUGUGCUCCUCCUUAAUGGUUGAACUUCUUGUUGCAUUCCAUCUUGAUCAUUAACAACUUCUUCUUGGAUAGCUUCUUCUUGGAUAGCUUCCUCGUGGAUAGCUUCGUCAUGGAUAUCUUCUUCAGGGAUAGCUUCCUCAUGGAUAACUUGCAAAUUAGGUUGGUUUCCCCCCUCAUGAUCAGGAUGGACUGCUUCUUCAAUUGAUGUAGCUUCAUCCACAACUGGAGGUAUAUGUGAAGUGCUCGGUAUGCCACUUAUUUGAGGCUGGUUGAUGCCUAGGUUUUCCAGAAUGAUUCUCAAGUUGUUUGCCCUAUCUGAAGAUCCUUGUGAGAGAUCCUGAAGGCUUUCCCAACUCUUCUCAUCAUAGUAUCCCUUUGAUUCCACAAACUUAACAUCCCUUGAGACCAUAACUCUUCUUGAUUCAGGUAUGUAGCACUUGUACCCCUUCUGCGCAUGAGUAUAUCCUAUGAACAUGCCUUUGACACUCUUGGCUUCAAGCUUGUUUCUCUGUUCCCCUGGUAUCAAGACAUAGCACACACACCCAAAAACACGCAAGUGAUCAAUUGGAGGUUUUAUUUUGUUUAAUACCUGAAAGGGAGAGUUAUCUUGGAGGACUUUGGUGGGGAUCCUGUUGAUCAAAUAACAUGCUGAGACCACAGCAUCUCCCCAGAACCUCUUUGGAACAUUGGUAUGGAACAUCAUGCUCCUUGCAACCUCCAUAAGAUGGCGAUUCUUCCUUUCAGCAACUCCAUUUUGUUGUGGUGUGUAUGGGCAACUUGUUUGAUGGAUUAUGCCAUGUUUUGCUAAGUGAUGUUUGAAAGCAGUGCUUGUAUAUUCUCCGCCAUUAUCAGACCUAAAAAUUUUGAUCUUGGAAUUGAAAUGGUUAGAUACAUAGUUUUGGAAGUUAAUAAAAGCUUCUAAAACUCUAUCUUUAGUUUGAAUCAAGGUGAGCCAUGUAUAUUUUGAUUUUUCAUCUAUGAAUGUAACAAAAUAUUUAUGGUUCUCCCUAGACAUACAAGGUGCUGUCCAAACAUCAGAGUGCACAAGAUCAAAGCAAUUUUCAUAAAUAGUCUUAAAAUUAGGAAAAACAGAUCUCUGAUGUUUACCAAGAAUGCAAGCCUCACAACUUCCACUCUUUAAAGAUAGAUUAGGUAACAUCAGUCCUAAGGCACGAUAAUGAGGAUGACCUAAUCUAGCAUGCCAUAAAACAUCACUAGCUAACACAGAAGCAGAAUUGAAAGCACAAGAUAAAUUUGAAAGCUUGGUGUUUUCAAGCAAGUAAAGCUCUCCCUUGCUCACACACUUUCCCAGCAUCUUCCUGGUCUUAAUAUCCUGAAAGCACAUAUCAUUAGGACUGAAAAUAACAUUGCAAUUUAGAUCAUUGGUUGCUCUCUUAACAGAUAAUAAGUUGGAUGUGAAAGUAGGCAUAUAAAAAGCUUGAGACUCCUUAUCAAACAGUUUCAAGUUUCCUACUCCUUCAAUUGGAAUUCUAUCACCAUUAGCAAUCACUACACUUCCUAGAGCAGGUUUAACAUCACUAAUCAGUCUAGCAUCCCUAAUCAUAUGAUGAGAAGCUCCCGAAUCGAUGAUCAAAGGUCUAGUAGUAUGUGAAGCACUGUGAAUAGAAUUUAAAGCAUUGACACUGAUGUUACCAGAGUUUGCAUUGAUAGCUUUGAUAAGGGCUUCAAUGUCUGACUUGCGGAUGAAGGCAUCAUCAGGGGAUGGCUGGGACAUGGCAUGGGAUGUGGAUCCACCAGUGUGGGUGGUUGAGAUCAUAGCUCUUCCAUCUUCUCCUAUGCGCAUGGAGCCUGGUACUGUGGUUUCAUGAGCUCUUGCUUCAUGUGCUUUGGCCUGGUUGUAUCUGUUGGUUGAAGCAGGUCUGAGGUGAGGAUGGAAGAUCCAACAAUUGGUUUUGGAGUGGCCUAGAUUCUUGCAGUGCUCACAAGUCACAGACUUGUCUCCUCCUCUUCUUGGUUUGAAGUGUGCUUUGUUGACUGAAGCACUCUCCAUCUUCUCAGCUUUGUUUGCCAUAGACAGUUCCCCUUUUCCACCAAAGAGACCAUCUGAGCCUAGCUCCUUCCGAAGUUGAGCACACACAUCAUCAUAGCUUGGAAGCUCUUUAGCUCUCAAUAUGUGUUUAAGUACAUCAUUGAAGCUUGGGUUGAGUGUGAGAAGCAAUCCAAAGACCUUGUCUUGCUCACGCCUCUCUUCUAGUGUACUAGGAUCAGUGGUACUUGGUCUCAGCAUCUCAAGUUCAGACCACAGCUGGCUGUACUUCCCAAGGUGCUUGGUGAAGUCCAUCUCCUCUUGCUGUAAGUUGUUGAUUGCCCUCUUAACCUCAAAAAUUCUGGUGAGGUUUGAAGUGUUGCCAUAUACCUUGUGUAAGGUAUCCCAUAGCUUCUUUGCAGUCUCACAAUGUGAGUAAGACUCCAUGAUAGGAGUAUCAAGUGAGCCUUGCAAGAUAGACAGCACCAUGAGAUCCUCCUGACCCCAUUUGCCUUCAUCUACCACUACAACCUCCUUGCCAUCUUCUCCUUGGGUGAUUUGUCUUGGGGCCUCACUUGUGGUGAUGUGCUCCCAUAGACCUCUUCCUCCAAGAGCUGUCCUGGUCAAUCUCGACCAGGUAAUGUAGUUAGGACCUUUCAGGAUGACUGGAAUCCUAACUAGCUUGUGCUGCUCCAUCUUUGCUUGCUAUUGUCCAACGGGUAAAAAAUAAAAAAUUUGCCAAGGAGAAAUUUGAAUUUCUGAGGCUAGGCAAGAGAGAAAACAAGGGAAGCCAAUAUAUGUUCUCUAGAAAUGAAGAAAGUAAACCAAACAAGUGAAAGAGUAAGGUGAAUAGAGUAAAUUUGCGGAAGCAGUUUGGUGUUCAAGAGCUUGGAUGCUCUGAUACCAUGUUAGAAAUUGAAGAACAUAGUGAAGAACAAGAGAGAGAGAUGUUUAAUCUAGAAAGUAGAGAGAGAUAGAGUAAAUAAGGAGAAUCUUAUUUGCUUAAUUAAUUUCCUUAUGGGAACAUCCCAUAUAUAUAGGGGUUACAAGUAUGGCAAAUGGUAGAUGAGAUAUGAUAAACUAAUAAUCCAUUGUCUUGAGACUUUAACCCACCAUACAUGCUUGUCCCUUGUAGUGGCAUCUCCAUUGUCUUGAGACCUUAACCCACCAUGCAUGCUUGUCCCUUGUAGUGGCAUCUCCAUUGUCUUGAGACCUUAACCAACCAUGCAUGCUUGUCUCUUGUAGUGGUAUCUCCAUUGUCUUGAGACCUUAACCAACCAUCUUGUUUCUUAUUGCUUCAUCUUCACAUCCUCUGGAAGGGUUGUAUGUAUUUCGAUCUUGUCCUCUCGUAUGAGGAUACAGUUAGAUGGGUGUAUACGGUUCCAGUGGACUGCAAAGGAUGCGGUAAUCUCCGGCGCAAAAUACUGAACGACAACAUCGUCGGAUUACGGUUUCUCUUCGUACCGCUGAUAGACCAUGGAUUUGACCCACUUUUACCCAUGGUUUAUAAGUGUUUUAACUAUUAACUAUUAUAUUAUAGAGUCUAUUUAGUAUAUUUAUAGGAUCAUGAGUGAUUUGGAGAUAAAUGAUGAUUUUGGAGCAUUUUAGAGAUUUUUGGAGUAAGCACCCGAGAUGACCAUCGGUCGAUAUUGAAACGGAAUAAUCGAUCGAUGUUAACGUCUUGACAUCGAUCUAAAGCGAAGCCCAAAUCUUCACCAAGCUACUUGUUUUCUAUGUUGUCUGUCAAAAUUCAAAAUUGGUAAUAAUAUUUAACAUUUUACCAAAAAAGAAGAAGUUUGAGUUGUAAAAUACCAGUUUGGCAAUCUACCGUUAAACACAAUAUCUCCUUCUCUCUCCUCCCUCUGGUUUCUCCGCCUUCUCUCCUCCUAUUUGCAGUCUGAGUUUCUCCGAUGACCGGUGCGUGGCGGUUUCGUUAACGCCAGCGCCGGUCCCAAUCUGCUUAGUUUUCCUUCUAGUUUAACAUAUGUUCGGCGUGUAAUGACUGGAAUCUAUAUUGAUGGAGAUUUUGGUUGGAAAAGCUUGGCUUUCUUUCUCAGAUCUAUGUUAGAUUUCUGAAGUGAAAAUACCUGAUCGUUAGAUUAAUGGUUUGUUUUUUCAUUCCUUUCUCUAUCUUGUUACUGGUGGGAUUUUGGGUGGGCUUGUUCACUUUUUUGGAAGCUGCUGUGGAUUCUUUCCGGUUCUGUAGUGAGCCAGUCAUGUGGGAUUGGUGUCUCUGAGUUUGUUUAGGCUUGGCUCCUUGUUUCUCUGUCAGAUUCAGGUGUGAUCUGGUUUCUUCAAAAGCUCCAUCACUAGGCAUUCAACGGCCGUGCUUGCUCUGCCGUUUCCGAGAGUGUGUGAUGAAUCUGUUGAUUCCAACUUGUCGAAAGGUGGAGUUUGGUUAUUUGGUCAUGAGGUAUUCCCUCGUUGUUCAAGGAGGAAGUGACUUAUUGGUUGUUUGGCUGUGGGCAAUCUCUAUAAAUAUCUUUCAUGGAGUUCUGAAUCUGUUGUUUCAUGUUCGUUUGGAGUCUUCGCCGGUGAAUUUUGUUUUCAGUUGUCUUUAUCUUUUUUUUUUACUGUUAUGUGUUUGUGUUUGUUGGGAUCCCUUGUAUAGGCUUAGUUUCCAGGGUCGGUUCUGUGUGAUCGCUGGCUUGUGUACCAGAUGUAAUCUUUUCGUUGUAAGAACACUAUCUUGUAAUCCUUUGUGUUUUUUUUUUAUUAAUAAAAUCAGGUGAAAAAGGGUUGUAAAAUAUAAAGUAUUAACUAGAUUUUCACCGGAAUAUUUUUUUGGUAAAUUUUUUAUAUAAACG
RNAcentral lists this long non-coding RNA (7432 nucleotides) under Brassica napus (rape). Its description in RNAcentral is "long non-coding RNA (BNAP_LNC013660)". The record is from RNAcentral. Lineage: Eukaryota; Viridiplantae; Streptophyta; Magnoliopsida; Brassicales; Brassicaceae.